AAGAUUAAUUGUUUAGGCUUCUAACCUAAAGGUAAUGAUUUGUUCAUUUAAUCUUU
This 56-nucleotide transfer RNA is filed under the name Rhipicephalus pulchellus. Its description in RNAcentral is "tRNA-Ser". The record is from RNAcentral. Lineage: Eukaryota; Metazoa; Arthropoda; Arachnida; Ixodida; Ixodidae.